CCUACGGGAGGCAGCAGUGGGGGAUAUUGCACAAUGGGGGAAACCCUGAUGCAGCGACGCCGCGUGUGGGAAGACGGUCCUCUGGAUUGUAAACCACUGUCCCCAGGGACGAAGAUGACGGUACCUGGGGAGGAAGCUCCGGCUAACUACGUGCCAGCAGCCGCGGCACUACGUAGGGAGCGAGCGUUGUCCGGAAUUACUGGGUGUAAAGGGAGCGUAGGCGGGACUGCAAGUUGGGUGUCAAAUCUACCGGCUCAACCGGUAGCCGCACUGAAAACUGCAGUUCUUGAGUGAAGUAGAGGCAGGCGGAAGUCCUAGUGUAGCGGUGAAAGGCGUAGAUAUUAGGAGGAACACCAGUGGCGAAGGCGGCCUGCUGGGCUUUUACUGACGCUGAGGCUCGAAAGUGUGGGGAGCAAACAGGAUUAGAUACCCGAGUAGUC
RNAcentral lists this ribosomal RNA (440 nucleotides) under uncultured bacterium. RNAcentral's name for it is "partial 16S ribosomal RNA". It matches the Rfam family "Bacterial small subunit ribosomal RNA", at positions 338 to 795 of the family's 1533-position model. The record is from RNAcentral.